Molecule: long non-coding RNA, 355 nt
Filed under: Homo sapiens (human)
Lineage: Eukaryota; Metazoa; Chordata; Mammalia; Primates; Hominidae
Description: HSALNT0041693
Source: RNAcentral
CUGAGAUAGCUUUUAAAUUAUAAUAAAAUUGUAAAAUUUAAAGAAAGUUGUUUUUAAUAUAAUUUAGAAAUGCUCUUAAUAAGAGUAUGCCCAAAUCUAAAUUAAACAGAAAUUUAUGACAUAUAAGGUAUUACAUUUUGUUUUAAUUUGGCUGAGAAAUUUGGGCUCACUUUACAGAUAAAGUGAAAUAAGGAACAUUGAUUUUUUAAAUAUGAAAAAACUAACAGGAAAGCAAUAAAAGUUUAAAAAUAAUAAAACCACUACAGUAUAUUGACUAUUUGCAUUGUAUUAGGUAGUAUAAGUAAUCUAGAGAUAAUUUAAACUAUAUGGAGGGAUUUGCAUCAGUUAUAUGCAA